This 85-nucleotide transfer RNA is filed under the name Rhodocyclaceae bacterium. RNAcentral describes it as "tRNA-Leu". It matches the Rfam family "tRNA". Rfam says of the family: Transfer RNA (tRNA) molecules are approximately 80 nucleotides in length. Lineage: Bacteria; Pseudomonadati; Pseudomonadota; Betaproteobacteria; Rhodocyclales; Rhodocyclaceae. RNAcentral also lists the same sequence under 1 other name. The record is from RNAcentral.
GCCCGGAUGAUGGAAUUGGUAGACAUACCGGACUUAAAAUCCGGAGCCGCAAGGCGUGCGGGUUCGAUUCCCGCUCCGGGUACCA